This 336-nucleotide ribosomal RNA is filed under the name Triticum aestivum (bread wheat). RNAcentral's name for it is "partial small subunit ribosomal RNA". Lineage: Eukaryota; Viridiplantae; Streptophyta; Magnoliopsida; Poales; Poaceae. The record is from RNAcentral.
AUGCUCAACCUGAUAUGCUCUUUUAUAGUGUUGAUUGUGUGUGUUAGGAAUAUGCUCUUUUGUUUUGCAACAAGAAACUUGAUUGAAGCUUUGUGUGAUCAAGUUUAUGUGUUGCUUGCUAUGCAGUGUCUCGAGCAAGAGGACCAAGUGUUGGUGGAUGGGCAUCAACAAGGUGGGUUGUCAGCACGGUGUUCGAGUUGGUCAGUAGUGGUGCACCUGCGCCAUGUAUGGAUCAAUACUCUAGGAGGUUCUGUCGAGGCCCAAUCCAUCCAGUUCAGAGCCAUUGUCAAAUUGAAUAACAACCGCCUUUUGGUCUCGGCCCAUAACCAGUCGUGA